This 394-nucleotide ribosomal RNA is filed under the name Candidatus Poseidoniaceae archaeon. RNAcentral describes it as "bacterial SSU rRNA". It matches the Rfam family "Archaeal small subunit ribosomal RNA", at positions 1081 to 1478 of the family's 1478-position model. Lineage: Archaea; Methanobacteriati; Thermoplasmatota; Candidatus Poseidoniia; Candidatus Poseidoniales; Candidatus Poseidoniaceae. The record is from RNAcentral.
UGGAGAUCGUGCACACUGGAGAGACUGCACGCGUAAGUGUGAGGAAGGUGCAGGCCACGGUAGGUCAGUAUGACCUGAAUCCGCUGGGCUACACGCGGCAGGCAAUGGUUGAUACAACGGGAUGCAACUCCGAGAGGAGAAGCUAAUCCCUUAAAGUUAAUCUUGUUUGAAUCGAGGGCUGCAACCCGCCCUCGUGAAAGCGAAAUCCCUAGUAAACGUGCGUUAGCAUCGUGCGUUGAAUACGUCCCUGUUCCUUGCACUCACUGCCUGUCAACUCAUCCAAGUGAGGUUUGGAUGAGGCUUUAUCAUCUGGUAGAGUCGAAUCUGAGCUUCGUGAGGCGGAGUAAGUCAACACAAGGUAUCUGUAGGGGAACCUGCAGAUGGAUCACCUCCU